Molecule: transfer RNA, 77 nt
Filed under: candidate division WWE3 bacterium
Lineage: Bacteria; candidate division WWE3
Description: tRNA-Asp
Rfam family: tRNA
About the family: Transfer RNA (tRNA) molecules are approximately 80 nucleotides in length. Their secondary structure includes four short double-helical elements and three loops (D, anti-codon, and T loops).
Source: RNAcentral
GGGGGUGUAGCUCAGCUGGUUAGAGCGCCGCCCUGUCACGGCGGAGGCCGCGGGUUCGAGUCCCGUCACUCCCGCCA